RNAcentral lists this long non-coding RNA (274 nucleotides) under Helianthus annuus (common sunflower). Its description in RNAcentral is "sRNA HanXRQr2_Chr11g0500451". Lineage: Eukaryota; Viridiplantae; Streptophyta; Magnoliopsida; Asterales; Asteraceae. The record is from RNAcentral.
AUGUUUAAAUCUUGGUUAAAUAGCAAGGAAAUCGGAACGUCAAGCAGACAAGCUAAUGGCGAUACGCGUUUGAAGGGGGCGCUUGGAAGUUUCUAGGUAUUGCAAGUGUACGGAUGGUGAUCAAGCAAGUUUUUGAAGAACCGAACACAACUUUUGAAGCUUCCGCAAUUUCAUAACUUUGUAAAUAAAAAAAAUGUUUCUAUUUCUUUUGAAUGUAAAUAUGCUGCAAAUCAGGUCAUGAAUGUUUUAACUAGUCGUUGGUUGACUAGUUUUA